Molecule: long non-coding RNA, 3632 nt
Organism: Gallus gallus (chicken)
Lineage: Eukaryota; Metazoa; Chordata; Aves; Galliformes; Phasianidae
Source: Ensembl
AGUGGAUGUCAGGUCUCAGUCUUUGGAUACUCCAACUAACAAAAGUUUCUGGUUUAUCUUUCCUGGAUUCCCUUUACAGAAAGGGAGCUAGCUAAGGCUACUCAUGCUUCCUCUCCCCCUAACAACCCAAAGAGCUCCCCAUAAAGUUCAAAGUCAACUGUGGUAUCUUUAAAAUUUAAACAUUAUCAGAACACAAAUCAAUAAAGUGUUAACUCUCUUAUCAGUCAUCUGCCAUGAACAACAAACAUUUUAAGUCAGCAGUUUGCAAACAAGCCAUGGACUAAUAUUUGUUUGCAUAAACUAUUCAGUACAGAUGCAUAAAAGAAAUUUAGUGGGAAUCAGGAUUAGCUUACAAAUGAUCUGCAAAAAAAGAGAAGAAGAGAAGAGAAGAGAAGAGAAGAGAAGAGAAGAGAAGAGAAGAGAAGAGAAGAGAAGAGAAGAGAAGAGAAGAGAAGAGAAGAGAAGAGAAGAGAAGAGAAGAGAAGAGAAGAGAAGAGAAGAGAAGAGAAGAGAAACACAUAAGCACAACAAAAAACUCCUAGAGUUAUUGGAUAUUUUAUUUAUAAUUAGUAAUUAAAUCAGCUCUAGUAUGGAUGCUGACAAUAUCAACAUAGCAUGUUUUCUGCUAGAUUUAUCACAUAUUUAUUUAAAAAAAAAAAAGCAGCACAGCAACCUAUUUACUUUCGACAUGAGUCAAUAGUGGUGUGGAUAAUGAGCACAACAGUAAAGAAAUUUGACUUAAACUUCAGUUUCAGAGCUGGCAAGGGUGAAACAAAAAUGAGUAGUCAGAAAGACUGAGAUUACAGUAAUGAGAUGCCUGCCUACAACUCCUCCUGCCUCCAUAGUCCAUGGCAAUACUCAAUAUCCUUUGGAGACAGUUUAGAGACAGGAGCACCCUUUCUCAUUCUCUUAAUGAACUUCAAUAGUGCCUCUAUUUGAACUUCAGUAAAGUUUGCAAAACGAGCAAUUUUUGAGAUUUUCUAUAUGUUUGUAUUUUAGCUUCCACAUGAAUAAAAGAAGCAGGGCAAUCUUUGGCAGCAAGCUGACAAACUCAGUGAGGUGAUCUCUAAACUAGAGAACCUGGGGGCUAGGGUCCACAAUGGCAGUGCUUACAUCAUUGUAAAUAACUGGGGAAUGAGACAAGCCAACCAGAACAGCGAUGGAUGUUAUUUAGCUGACUUCCAUGACACAGAAUCACAGAAUCAGUCGAUUUGAAACGUACCCUUAAAGGUCAUCUAGUCCAACCCCUCUGCAAUGAGCAGGAACAUAUACAGCUCAAUCAGGUGCUCAGUUCCCCAUCCAUCUUGACCUUAAAUGUCUCCAAGAAUGUGGCAUCCACCAUCUCUGUGGGCAGCUUAUUUCUGUGUCUCACCACAUUUAUCAUAUUGUCUUUUUUCUUCACACCCAGUCCAAACCUCUGCUUUAUUUUGAAACCAUUUCCCCUUGUCCUGUCACAACAGACUCUGGUAAAGAGUCUGUCCCCUUUUUUCUUGUCGCCCCAUUUAGACCUCCUAAAGCUGAUAUCUGUUCUCCCCAGAGCUUUCUCUUUUCCAGACUGAAAAGCCCCAGCUCUCUCAGCUUGUCCCCAUAGGAGAGAUGUUCCAUCCCUUGCAUCAUUUUUGUGGCCUUCCUCUAGAUGCACUCCAACAGGUCCAUGUCUCUUCUGUACUGAGGACUCCACAUCUGGAGACAGUACUCCAGGUGAAGCCUCACCAGCACAGAGUAGAGGGCCAUGAUCAUCUUCCUCAAGCUGCAGACCACACUUCUUAUGAUGAAGCCCAUGAGUCAAAAGGUCAGCCACUUCAAAGGUAUUUAUAGCUAUGGGGGUCCUCCUGCAUCCCUCUAGGAAAACCUCAGUACUCUGCUCCCUUUUCUUCUCUGUAGUGCCUGUAUACCAAUGCACACAGCAUGGGGAAUAAAAGAAAGAGCUAGAAAUCUUUGCAGUUGCAGGGCCACAAUCACAUGAUGUUCACAUAGACAUGGAGAUCCACAUUUUCCCUAGUCUUUGUUUUGCUAUUGACAUACCUAAAAAACUGAAAAGCUUGCUCUUUAAUGAGGUAGGUGUCCUGAUAACAGAGGACACUGAGAAGAUGGAGUUAGUGAAAAACUUCUUUGCUUUAGUCUGUACUUCUGAGACUGCCCCUCAUGAGUCUGGAGAACGAGAGAAUUCCUCUUGGUUGAGUAGGAUCUGAUUAGAAAUUAUCAAGAUAAACUUAGCACUCAAAAAUCCAUGGCCCCAUGAGUGCUGAAGGAUCUGGCAGAAGUGAUUGCCAAAUCAUUCUCUUUCAUCCAUAUGAAGACUGGAGGAAAGCCAAUGUCACUUCAGUCUUCAAAAAGGGCAAGAAGGAGAAUCUGGGAAACUGCAGGCCAGCUAGCCUCACCUCUGCCUCUGAGGAGGUGAUAGAACAAUUUAUUCUGGAUAUUACCUCCAAAAAAAUGGAAGAAAAGCAGGUUACCAGGAGUAGUUAACCUGGAUUCACCAAGGGGAAAUUGUUCUUGAGCGAUGAUGUUAUCUUGACUUCUAUGACAUUGUGAAUGGCUGAUAGUAUGAAGAGAGAGCAGUGGAUGCUCUGUACCUUGAUUUCAGCAAGUCUUUUAACACUCCCAUAACAUUGUUGUAGGUGAGCUUAGGAUAUGUAGGAUGGAUGAGUGGACAGUGGUGUGGACUGAGAACUGGUUGACUGGCAGAGCUGAGUUCUGUGACCAGAAGACAGAAUGCAUCCUCAGCAAGUUUGCUGAUGAGAUGAGGCUGGGAGGAGCAGCUGACACACCAGAAGGCUGCUGCCAUUCAACAAGGCCUGGACAGUCUAGAGAGAAGGGCAGAGAGGGACCUAAUGAGGCUGAACAAGGGCCAGCAUAGGGUCCUACAGUUGGGGAACAAUAACCACAUGCAUUAGUACAGGUUCUAGACUUGCUGGGAAGGAGCUCUGCGGAGAAGGAUCUGAGAGUCCUGGCCAUGUACCAGGAGAGUGCCCUUGUGGCUAGAAGUUCAAUGGUAUCCUGGAGUCCAUUAAAAAGAGAAUGGCCAGCAGGGCAAGGGAGGUGAUCCUCCCCCUCUUCUCUGUCCUGAUGAGGCCACUUCUGGAGUACUAUGUUCAUUCGGGCUCCCCAGUUCCAGAAAGAGAGGAAGUUUUCUGAGAGAGAGCCCAGUGGAGGGCUACAAAGAUAAUUAGGGGCCAGGAGCAUCUCCUGUAUGAGGAAAGACUGAAAGACAAGGGACUAUUCAGCCAAGAGAAGAGAAGACUGAGAGGAGAUCUUACCAACACUUACAAAUAUUUAAAAUGCAGGUGUCAAGGAGAUGGGGCCAGGCAUUUUACUUUUACACCUAUGUGCCCAGUAACCGAACAGAACAAGGAUCAAUGGUCAUAAAAUAGUACACAGGAAAUUCUAUCUGAACAUGAAAAACUUGUGAUGGAGCACUGGAAUGGACUGGAACCACAAGAGGUGGUGGAGUCUCCUCUGGAGAUAUGCAAAAGCUAUCUGGGUACUUUGCUGUGCAACCUACUAUAAUAAACCUGCAUUAGCAGUGGGGUUGAACUAGAUAAUCUCCUAAAGUCAUUUCCAAACCCUACAAUUUUGUGAUCCUGUGAUUUCCAGGCAUUUAUCUGAAAAGCACUGUUUGAUGAUUGAAG